AGGAUUCCCCUAGUAACUGCGAGUGAAGCGGGAAAAGCUCAAAUUUAAAAUCUGGCAGUCUUUGGCUGUCCGAGUUGUAAUCUAGAGAAGUAUUAUCCGCGCUGGACCGUGUACAAGUCUCCUGGAAUGGAGCGUCAUAGAGGGUGAGAAUCCCGUCUUUGACACGGACUGCCAGGGCUUUGUGAUGUGCUCUCAAAGAGUCGAGUUGUUUGGGAAUGCAGCUCAAAAUGGGUGGUAAAUUCCAUCUAAAGCUAAAUAUUGGCGAGAGACCGAUAGCGAACAAGUACCGUGAGGGAAAGAUGAAAAGAACUUUGGAAAGAGAGUUAAACAGUACGUGAAAUUGCUGAAAGGGAAACGCUUGAAGUCAGUCGCGUUGGCCAGGGAUCAACCUUGCUUUUUUGCUUGGCUUACUUUCUGGUUGAUGGGUCAGCAUCAAUUUUGACUGGUGGAAAAAGUUCAAGGGAAUGUGGCAUCUUCUGAUGUGUUAUAGCCUUUGUUCGCAUACAUCGGUUGGGAUUGAGGAACUCAGCACGCCGCAAGGCCGGGUUUUUAACCACGUACGUGCUUAGGAUGCUGGCAUAAUGGCUUUAAUCGACCCGUCUUGAAACACGGACCAAGGAGUCUAACAUGCCUGCGAGUGUUUGGGUGAAAAACUCGAGCGCGUAAUGAAAGUGAAAGUUGAGAUCCCUGUCAUGGGGAGCAUUGACGCCCGGAUCUGACCUUUUGUGACGAUUCUGCGGUAGAGCAUGUAUGUUGGGACCCGAAAGAUGGUGAACUAUGCCUGAAUAGGGUGAAGCCAGAGGAAACUCUGGUGGAGGCUCGUAGCGAUUCUGACGUGCAAAUCGAUCGUCAAAUUUGGGUAUAGGGGCGAAAGACUAAUCGAACCAUC
Molecule: ribosomal RNA, 889 nt
Filed under: Laccaria sp.
Lineage: Eukaryota; Fungi; Basidiomycota; Agaricomycetes; Agaricales; Hydnangiaceae
Description: eukaryotic LSU rRNA
Rfam family: Eukaryotic large subunit ribosomal RNA
Source: RNAcentral